UCUGUGGAUCUGUUGGUUCUGAAAGCGUACUGGUGAGGGUCCAGGCUGGCAGGGAUGUUGUCUUUGAUGUGUUGGAGAACCGUUUUCUCAAAGCACUUAAUCAGGAUGGGGGUAAGAGCUACAGGGCGGUAGUCAUUAAGACUAGACACAGCAGACUUUUUGGGAACAGGAACGAUGAUGGCUGUCUUGAGGCAGGAAGAACAGUCUCUUGUGGGGUGAGACGUUAAAAAUGUCAGUCAUAACAUUAACAAGCUGAUCUGCAGUUUCUAAUGUUCGUCCAGGAAUGUUGUCUGGGCCUGUGGACUUGUUUAUAUUCACUCUCAGCAGGAGUUUUCUCACAUCUGCUGUGGUCACUGAAAGUGGCCGGUCCUCUGGAGGGCGGAGUCGACUUCACAGCUGAGUCCUUAUUAAGGAGGUCAAAGCGAGCGUAAAAUGUGUUCAGCUGGUCCAGCAGCGUGGCCUCACAUAUGAUGGGGGGCGCUCCUGCUUUUGUAGCCUGUGACAUUUUGAAUCGCCUGCCACAUAUCUUUAGUGCUGUUGCUGUUGAGAUCUCUCUCCGGUCUCUGCUGGUGUCUCCUCCUUGAUGCCAGCUCUCAAUUUAAUUUAAAACGGUAUCAUUAGCAUGUGUAGUAAUGUAACUUUCAUUUACACUGACAUAUUAUGCCCAUUUUCAGUAUCUUGAAUAUUGAUCUUGAACUCCUGUGGAGCAGCAUUGUAUCAUUCACUAUCCAGAACACUGUAUCUGAAGUCCUCUAUCAGAGCCCUGUUUUCAGCAGAGCUCUGAGACGGUCGGUUUCAGCUUCCUCCUCCUCCGUGGCCACUGGCCACAUCGCGCCCUGCCUUCUCUGCUGAUUGGUUGGCUUUCCGAAGCCACCCGAGAAGAGGCGAGAAAAGUCGAACACUCCCUCUCCCGCUUCUGUCGAUGCGGAAGUUCAGUUUGCAAACUUCACUUUAAUACAUCCAUGCAGUAAACAGACAAACUAACGUAGUUUGUUGUAGUUACUCGGAGAUGGCGACCUUCGACACACAGCCUUAAAUGUUAGAUCCUGAAUCUGGUUCGGAUAACCAAAGUUUACAGCACGAACCUUCACAGCAACAGAGACUUCUGCAAACCGUCUUUGCGUGGUGAGUGAACAGUUAUCAGAAAUACUGUUGAACCAUAUGGUGGAUUUUUUUUCACUCUGCUUUUACGUAGUUUCUAAUAUAUUCCCUUGUUACCAGGUGCACGUGUGGAAAAUGCGCUAAGAUGCGCUAAGGUGAAGUGGAAAAGACAUACCAAAGAUGUCACAGAUAUCUCCCAAACUGCAGCUUUGUUAGCUGGUGUUGGGGAUACCUGGGAAGAUGUGUGAAGAUCAUCAUCCCGUCUUGUAAAGACCCCUUCCUUUGACAGUCUCUGGAACUGGGCACAGAGGUUUUCUGGGAUGGGGAUUUCUUUGAGCUCAUCUGUGUAUCUGCAGGGCUCUUCCUAAUAAAUCUAAAUUUAGAUUUGCA
Molecule: long non-coding RNA, 1491 nt
Organism: Plectropomus leopardus (leopard coralgrouper)
Lineage: Eukaryota; Metazoa; Chordata; Actinopteri; Perciformes; Serranidae
Source: RefSeq, a predicted model, not a curated record